ACUAGAAUAGAGCUUUUUCUUCAGCAUACCAACCCCUCAUUCCCCUCAAAUUUACUAGUACUUCGCUAUUUUCUCUAUAAAAAAAUUCAUCUUUUUCCUAACUCCACAACUCCACCGCCGAACCACCACUCCACUACUUCCGUACCGCCUCACUUGGUAUCUCACUGCACCGGCGGACUGCCGCAUCGCGCCGCUGCGCCCAUGCCCUCUUCUUCCCCGAUUUCAUGUAAUUGAAUUAAGUUUCUAAUAAUGUGCAGCGACGAGCUUCUAAUGAGCAGCUAUACAUGAGCAAUACAACAGCAAUAAGCAAGUAGAAUAGCUGUGCACAAAUAGCCCAACAUCAGCAGCAAUCGAGAAGUACAGCAGCUAUACGAAGCACCUACCUAGCUGCUGUUGUUUGAGCUUUGUUGCUGCUCACAAGUGCACGAACAGCAGCCUCGUGGGCUCAUUUCCACAAGCCUUGAAGUGCCUUGUGAUAGCAGCCACAACCUAGCCACAGCACACGAGCACCAUGGCAGCUUAGCCACUGCAGAUCAGCACGCAAACAGCUUAGCAACAGCAGCAUGGCACGCAACUAAUCAGCCACUGCAGCAGCCUUGUGCUCUCCUUUAAGCCAUCACUGCAGCAACCUUAGUGCUCACUUGAGAGCCUUAUCGCAGCUAUAUAACAGCAGCCCUACAGCAACACAAGCAUGGCAAUAGCCCAGGCAGAACACGCAGCACAGACCCAACACGGCUGCGGGGCUGAUGCUAUAAAAAUGUAAAUCGCAGCAUUGUAAUCAUAUUUAGUUUUACGUAAUUAGUUUCUAGUUUUCAUAUUUUAGGCUUAGCUUAGAAUUCUAGAGAGAGAAUUAGUUUAGGGCUUAGAUUAGAGGUUAGGAUUAAGAUUCAUUGCUUCAAAUUCUUGAAUCUUAGUUGAAUUUUAUCAUCAAAUUUCAGUUUUCUUUUCUCUUUCUUUUGAGCUUUGUUCUUCAUUUUGUUCUUCAAAGUUUGAUGCAAAUUCUUCAAUUCAAGGUAAAAUUCUACUUUUCUUUUUGAUUUGUUC
Spinacia oleracea (spinach) is the source of this 1044-nucleotide long non-coding RNA. RefSeq lists it as uncharacterized. The transcript has 2 exons. The record is from RefSeq and is a predicted model, not a curated record. NCBI's taxonomy places the organism in Eukaryota, Viridiplantae, Streptophyta, Magnoliopsida, Caryophyllales, Amaranthaceae.